UUGGGAGUAAACAGUCAAAUAAAAACUGAUUUGUUGGAGGCUGGGAAACUUUCAAUAACAUGAAUCAAGUUUUGUUGUGGACUACCAUUGUAGAUGACAGCCUUUUUCUAAGGCCUAUUGGAUGCCAAUUUCCUUUCUGUGGCUGACUUUUGUUUGGAAUACUUUAUUUAUUUGUAUUUAUUUUCUAACCUUUUAUUUAACUAAGCAAGUCAGUUAAGAACAAAUUCUUAUUGACAGUGACGGCCUACCAAAAGGCCUCCUGCGGGGAUGGGGGCUGGGAUUAAAAAUAAAUUUAAAAAAAAUAUAGGAGAAAACACACAUCACGACAGAGUCAUCUGAAAUGAAGUGGUCCUGGAGAGCAGGCAGUGUGCGUUGGGCAGACAGCACCACCCUCUGGAGUGCCCUGCGGUUGCGGGCGGUGCAGUUGCCAUACCAGGAGUGGUCCCGUCGAUGUGGAUAGGGGCGCGCUCCCUCUGCUGUCCCCUGGCUAAAAACUAUCUCCACCCGGCACAGCCAGAAGAGGCCUGGUUCCUCUCUAGGUUUCCUCCUAGGUUCCUGCCUUUCUAGGGAGUUUCUCCUAGCAGAACUUGCUCAGUUCUGCCUUCAGGACAAGACUCAUCCCAAUAAACAUCAACCUAUUGAAGAGGCAUUAGAAGAAGACAAAAAUGUAUAUUACCAAUUGAACGACAUCUAUUGCAGGAUAAAUCAAUGUUGCAUUUUACUUUAUGGGUUGGUUAUGUAGGCUUGUUUUAACCCAUUGCUAUCUACUAUGAUUAGGCAAUAUCUUUGCGUUUCUGUCAGAUUCAGUCAUUCCAAUUAAUUUAAUACCCCUUGAUCUUUAAGAAUAGGAAAUAUGGAACUAUACCUUGAGUGUACAAAACAUUAGGAACACCUUCCUAAUAUUGAGUUUCACCCUCUUUUUCCCUAAAAGCAGCCUAAAUUCGUCAGGGCAGUACUCUACAAGGUGUCGUAAGUUUUCCACAGGGAUGCUGGCCCAUGUUGACUCCAGUGCUUCCCACAGUUGUGUCAAGUUGGCUGGAUGUCCUUUGGGUGGUUGGCCAUUCUUGAUAGAAAUGGGAAACUGUUGAGCAUGAAAAACCCAGCAGUGUUGCAGUUCUUGACACAAACCAGUGCGCCUGGCACCUACUACCAUACCCUGUUUAAUACCACUUACAUAUUUUGUCUUACCCAUUCACACUCUGAACAGCACACAUACACAAUCCAUGUCUCAAUUGUCUCAAGGCUUAAAAAAUCCUUCUUUAACCAGUCUUCUCCCUUCACUACACUGAUUCAAGUGGACAUCAAUACGGGAUCAUAGCUUUCAUCUGGAUUCACCUGGUCAGUCUAUGCCAUGGAAAGAGCAGGUGUUCCUCAUGUUUUGUGCACUCACUAUGGAUUAGCCGAAUUGUUUGACCUGGGCAUAACCAAAAAACUAAGGACAAAUUAGCCUACUCUGUUUUUUGUUUAUUUUUUGGGGGUCACGGAGGGUUGAUUGGGCUCAUUGCUUCGAGUUAAAAAUAAAUUUGCUCUCGGAAUGGCAUGUUUGGAGCACUACCGAAAAGUAAAAAACUAGAUGGUAAAAGCAUGUGGAAAAACUAGAUGGUAAUUUUCCAUGAAGAAAAUAAAAGCCCCACUUGUGGACUUCUGAAAUUGAACUUGUACUUGAUAGUAUGGAGCACAAUACCACGAGGGAGUUUAGAAGGGAGGAACUCAAACUUGUAUUCCAUAGGCUGGGAUCCACGCCAUGCAGCUGUUGAAAUACCGCGUUUGUCACUGGCUGGCCACUGGGGCGUAUUCAUUACUCCGUCUCUGCAAAACAUUUCUUAAACGGAAGCAAACGGAACGAAAACAGAGACCUUGUCACGUCCUGACCGGUAAUAGGGGUUAUUUGUUAUUGUAGUUUGGUCAGGACGUGGCAGACGGUAUUUGUUUUAUGUGGUUCGGGGUGGUUGG
Salmo salar (Atlantic salmon) is the source of this 1953-nucleotide long non-coding RNA. RefSeq lists it as uncharacterized. The record is from RefSeq and is a predicted model, not a curated record. Lineage: Eukaryota; Metazoa; Chordata; Actinopteri; Salmoniformes; Salmonidae.